UAGAAAGACAGGACUCGAACCCGUGCCUAAAGACUCAAAACCUUUAGCACUCCAUUAUGCUACUUCC
Molecule: transfer RNA, 67 nt
Filed under: Stenocercus chrysopygus
Lineage: Eukaryota; Metazoa; Chordata; Lepidosauria; Squamata; Tropiduridae
Description: tRNA-Gln
Source: RNAcentral